AUACGUAGGUGGCGAGCGUUGUCCGGAAUCACUGGGUGUAAAGGGCGUGUAGGCGGGAGAGCAAGUCAGGUGUGAAAGCCCAAGGCUCAACUUUGGGACUGCAUCUGAAACUGUUUUUCUUGAGUACUGGAGAGGGAAGCGGAAUUCCUAGUGUAGCGGUGAAAUGCGUAGAGAUUAGGAGGAACACCAGUGGCGAAGGCGGCUUCCUGGACAGAGACUGACGCUGAGGCGCGAAAGCGUGGGUAGCGAACAGGAUUAGAUACCCUGGUAGUCCACGCCGUAAACGAUGGAUACUAGGUGUAGGAGGUAUCGACACCUUCUGUGCCGGAGUUAACACAAUAAGUAUCCCACCUGGGGAGUACGGCCGCAAGGUUGAA
This 377-nucleotide ribosomal RNA is filed under the name uncultured bacterium. RNAcentral's name for it is "bacterial SSU rRNA". It matches the Rfam family "Bacterial small subunit ribosomal RNA", at positions 523 to 898 of the family's 1533-position model. The record is from RNAcentral.